Molecule: long non-coding RNA, 1315 nt
Organism: Gavialis gangeticus (Gharial)
Lineage: Eukaryota; Metazoa; Chordata; Crocodylia; Gavialidae
Exons: 3
Source: RefSeq, a predicted model, not a curated record
AUGAGAGUCUAUCAUGAAAGUUUCUCAUCUAAUAUCUAUAAAGAAAGGUGGACUCUAGUCAAUUUAAAAUUCCUGGAUGCAAAAGUUAACCAUGUUGGGCAGCAAGGUGACAGAUCCUAGAGACUGAAAGUCUCAGUAUAACCCAGGAAUAAUUGCAACGAUCAGCAGUAAUGCAAGACUAAUCAUUGGUAGAAGAAAGAUUGUAAUUUUUUGCCCCAAUACACCUUAGUCAUCAUGGUCAUCUUGCAAAAUUAUCCAGCUAGAGGGCAAACUUACAUCUACUAUCACAGGGAUCAAAACUAUCUUUGGUUUUGUCAACUGGUCCAAAAUCUCAGUCAGCUACAAAGCUUAGACUUGAGUGAGGUCUCAGCCUUCCAACCCCUACUGAUCUCACUUUGCUACUACAGUUUGAAUUGGAAUGAAUUGGAAUGAUUUUCUCUGACAGCUGACAAGAAGUUUCCUCACUGAUAUCCUAGUACCCCCAUCCAAUCUCCUAGAACAAUGGGGUCAAAAUGUCCUCAGUAGAUCAAGAACUUUUCUGUCUGAACCCUGAAGGCUGUUAGUGGAGUCCCACAAGGCUCCCUUCCUCUAGUUCCACAGUUGUUCAGCACCUCUUCAAAAGCAGCUGAGCCAACCUGGCCUGAAGUGCCAGCCAUUUGCAGACAAUAGGAUCCCCUACUCCACAUUAACUAUGAGCAGUACAGCAUCUAAGCUUUCUCAAUGCUUCACUGAAAGCAUCUAGACAAAACAGCUGAGGCAGCUGGAUCCAAAUAAGAGAGCUGGCAGAAGAUGGAAACACUUUAAAAAGCCAGUCUCCACUAUAGCCUCGCCACUACCUGGGGCAUCUGUCCUGGGUUCCUGAGGUCAAAGCAGGCGUUUCAACUCAAUCUGGCUUUGUAGGCCAGAUCAGACUACAAUGCUUCUCACAGCCUGGAUGACCAACACCCACUGACCAAUUUUAGUCACCGAUGGGCACUAAAGACCCUAAAUUCUGCAGCAGGAAAGAAGUUAGGUGCAAUGAGCAGUGGGGCUUCACCCCUGCAUCCCAGAGCUGCACCAACACAGCAGUUCCAGCAACUUUCCCAACAAGCCCUGCAGGCUACCAAUAGGAUAGCCCUGGGUCAGAUCAUAGUUUGGGGUUAUUACUUAUUCCUACUAUUAAACCCCUCUGAGUAGAGAGGGAACCAAUCAAUCCCACCAUUAGACAGCAACGGAAACCCCCAGUCUCACACAAAUCAACCUGUACAUAAACUACUUGGCAUUGCCCUUUCUUAUCUGUUGCUUUCUAGGCUGCUUAUCCAGUUGGCUUGUUCGA